AGCAACAAGGGUGAAAUCUGUACUUAAGUUAAAUUUCUUGUUUAAAGCAUCUUUUAGGUAGUUAAACGACUAGGAUUAGAUACCCUAUUAGUCUAUCCUUAAUUAAUCUGGGUAGUAAUAUUAAAACCUAAAGAAUUUGGCGGUUUCUAAACUUACUAGAGGAACCUGUCCCGUAAACGACAAUCCACGAAAAAAUCAACCCAAACUUGUUAUUCAGCUUAUAUACCGUCGUUUAGGGGAUUAAACAAAUAGAUCUCCUUAAGAGCUUAGGCUAAUAAAUCAGAUCAAGGUGUAGCUUAUGUUUGGGUGAGGAUGGGUUACAAUGAAAAUUCAUACGGAACCUUUAUAUUACUGCAAAGGAGAAGGUGGAUUUAGAAGUAAGACCUAACACACUGAAGAAAGCCCUGAGAAAUGUACAC
This 419-nucleotide ribosomal RNA is filed under the name Artemia sinica. RNAcentral's name for it is "partial small subunit ribosomal RNA". The record is from RNAcentral. Lineage: Eukaryota; Metazoa; Arthropoda; Branchiopoda; Anostraca; Artemiidae.